Molecule: ribosomal RNA, 272 nt
Filed under: uncultured Staphylococcus sp.
Lineage: Bacteria; Bacillati; Bacillota; Bacilli; Caryophanales; Staphylococcaceae
Description: partial 16S ribosomal RNA
Rfam family: Bacterial small subunit ribosomal RNA
Source: RNAcentral
CGUUAGCGGCGGACGGGUGAGUAACACGUGGGUAACCUACCUAUAAGACUGGGAUAACUUCGGGAAACCGGAGCUAAUACCGGAUAAUAUUUCGAACCGCAUGGUUCGAUAGUGAAAGAUGGUUUUGCUAUCACUUAUAGAUGGACCUGCGCCGUAUUAGCUAGUUGGUAAGGUAACGGCUUACCAAGGCGACGAUACGUAGCCGACAUGAGAGGGUGAUCGGCCACACUGGAACUGAGACACGGUCCAGACUCCUACGGGAGGCAGCAGCC